Molecule: ribosomal RNA, 499 nt
Filed under: Burkholderia sp. HPN610
Lineage: Bacteria; Pseudomonadati; Pseudomonadota; Betaproteobacteria; Burkholderiales; Burkholderiaceae
Description: bacterial SSU rRNA
Rfam family: Bacterial small subunit ribosomal RNA
Source: RNAcentral
UUUUUUGAUUGAUCCUGGCUCAGAUUGAACGCUGGCGGCAUGCCUUACACAUGCAAGUCGAACGGCAGCACGGGAGCAAUCCUGGUGGCGAGUGGCGAACGGGUGAGUAAUACAUCGGAACGUGUCCUGUAGUGGGGGAUAGCCCGGCGAAAGCCGGAUUAAUACCGCAUACGCUCUACGGAGGAAAGGGGGGGAUCUUAGGACCUCUCGCUACAGGGGCGGCCGAUGGCAGAUUAGCUAGUUGGUGGGGUAAAGGCCUACCAAGGCGACGAUCUGUAGCUGGUCUGAGAGGACGACCAGCCACACUGGGACUGAGACACGGCCCAGACUCCUACGGGAGGCAGCAGUGGGGAAUUUUGGACAAUGGGCGCAAGCCUGAUCCAGCAAUGCCGCGUGUGUGAAGAAGGCCUUCGGGUUGUAAAGCACUUUUGUCCGGAAAGAAAACCUCUGGGUUAAUACCCCGGGGGGAUGACGGUACCGGAAGAAUAAGCACCGGCUA